GGGUAAACAUUUUUUUUUCAUUUAAACAAUAUUUCCUUUACAAGAGCUUAAAUCCGAGAUAAAUUGAAAUGACUUGCAGAAAAUGAUAAUCUGGACAGUAAUCACCUAGUUAAGGGAUGGUAUUCCUUCCUUCAUCGAUUUCAAUGACAAGGAGAUGCUCUGGAUCUGACUCAUUGGGUCCCUCUUUGAGUAGAGUGAAGGGAGAUAAGCCUUGUAUGCUGGCAGAUAAAAACAAAGUCCAUAACCUGAAACAACACCCAUAUGAAACCUUGAAACUCGAUGUUUGGAAUCUACUGUGGAUGUUUGAAGCAUUAAAAUACCAAAUUCAAUAACAAUUAAAUAGUUAGCCCCACCUCCUCAUCAGACAUCACAGGGGCUUCCCAUCCACCCUCAUGGCGAUCUCUGCCUGCAAAUCUACACAACUAGUUACAUAUGCUUGAAAGG
RNAcentral lists this long non-coding RNA (444 nucleotides) under Actinidia chinensis (golden kiwifruit). RNAcentral describes it as "long non-coding RNA (ACHI_LNC009460)". The record is from RNAcentral. Lineage: Eukaryota; Viridiplantae; Streptophyta; Magnoliopsida; Ericales; Actinidiaceae.